UCAGGGGGCCGGGCGACCGCGGGCCGCCGCUCAUAUGGGCGGAGGCGCGAGGAAAGUCCGGGCUCCACGGAAAACGGUGCCGGAUAACGUCCGGCGGGUCCGCCGUUUCGGCGGCGGAUCAAGGGACAGUGCAACAGAAAGCAGGUCGCGCAGGCUUCGGUCCCGCGACAGUGAAAGGGUGCGGUAAAAGCGCACCGCGUCGGCCGGCAACGGCCACGGCACGGUAAACCCCACCGGGAGCAAGACCGAAUAGGGGCGGCUAAGGGCUUUGAUGCCCGCUUCUUUCCGGAAGGCCGCCCGGGUUGGUCGCUUGAGCGGCGGAGCAAUCCGCCGCCUAGAGGAAUGGUCGCCCAUCCCUUUUCGAAGGGUGGACAAAACCCGGCUUACAGGCCCCCUGACAAU
This 402-nucleotide RNase P RNA is filed under the name Novosphingopyxis sp. YJ-S2-01. RNAcentral describes it as "Bacterial RNase P class A". It matches the Rfam family "Bacterial RNase P class A". From Rfam's summary of the family: Ribonuclease P (RNase P) is a ubiquitous endoribonuclease, found in archaea, bacteria and eukarya as well as chloroplasts and mitochondria. Its best characterised activity is the generation of mature 5'-ends of tRNAs by cleaving the 5'-leader elements of precursor-tRNAs. Lineage: Bacteria; Pseudomonadati; Pseudomonadota; Alphaproteobacteria; Sphingomonadales; Sphingorhabdaceae. The record is from Rfam by way of RNAcentral.